UUUUUGGUAAAAGUAAAAAGUAGGGUCUGCCCAGUGAGUAAUUUUAACGGCCGCAAUAUUUGUGCGAAGGUAGCAUAAUCAUUUGUCUUUUAAUUGAUGACUGGAAUGAAUGGCUGGACGGGGAUAAGCUGUCUUAUGUAUAUAUAUUUGAAAUUUACUUUUAAGUAAAAAGGCUUAAAUAUUUUAGAGGGACGAGAAGACCCUAUUGAGUUUAAUAGAAUUUAUUUAAAUUUUUCUUAAAUUUUUAUGUAAUCUAUUUAGUUGGGGAGAUUUGAUAUUAUUAACUAUAUAAGAAUUAAUAGACUUUAAGUUUUUAGGAUCCAUAUUUUAUGAGUGUUAAGGUAAAUUACCUUAGGGAUAACAGCGUAAUAUUUUUUUAGAGUUCAAAUCGAUUAAAAUGAUUACGACCUCGAUGUUGGAUUAAGGAACCUAAUUUGGAGAAGAUUUUAAUUUAGGUAGUCU
This 462-nucleotide ribosomal RNA is filed under the name Nymphon australe. RNAcentral's name for it is "partial 16S ribosomal RNA". Lineage: Eukaryota; Metazoa; Arthropoda; Pycnogonida; Pantopoda; Nymphonidae. The record is from RNAcentral.